Molecule: transfer-messenger RNA, 360 nt
Filed under: Planctomycetota bacterium
Lineage: Bacteria; Pseudomonadati; Planctomycetota
Also listed under: 1 other name
Description: Planctomycetes bacterium transfer-messenger RNA
Rfam family: transfer-messenger RNA
About the family: Bacterial tmRNA, also known as 10Sa RNA or SsrA, is named for its dual tRNA and mRNA-like properties. Its role is to liberate the mRNA from a stalled ribosome.
Source: RNAcentral
GGGGGCGAAUUGGAAUCGACCGGAUGAGUUGAAGAUUUUGGUGGCAUGUCGUGGUUGGUCGAGAGGCCACGUUAAUACUCGAUCAAAAAAAGUAACUGCAGAGAAUACUCUCGCACUGGCGGCCUAGUUUAGGCUUCCCAGGCACCCGGGGCCCGUCGGAGGCGCUGGAGUGCCUGUCGCAAUUCCGAAUCGCCAUGACCCGUGUCUCGCACGGUCAUGGUUAAAAAAGCUCGAGGCUGGCGCACCGCACCGAUGCCAACGACGAACGUGGUGGGCGAGACAAAUAAAAGUUGGCUAAGCAUGUAGAGGCCGGAUCGGAAGCAUCACGGGACGCGGGUUCAAUUCCCGCCGCCUCCAUCA